Molecule: long non-coding RNA, 200 nt
Filed under: Elaeis guineensis (African oil palm)
Lineage: Eukaryota; Viridiplantae; Streptophyta; Magnoliopsida; Arecales; Arecaceae
Description: long non-coding RNA (EGUI_LNC064835)
Source: RNAcentral
GGGGCGAUCGUACAUGGGAUUCAAGGGGAUAACUUCGGCUGCAAAAAUUUCUCUGUACUUCCUUCAUUCAAAAUUUAAACUCGAAAGUAGAGAGACUGGUAUUGGGUAUAAAAUACCCCUCAGUCGAAGUUCGUGAUGGGAGUGACCCUCUGGGUAUCCAACUGACUUUCGACCUCCGGCAACGUCUCUUCAAACCUCCA